RNAcentral lists this ribosomal RNA (465 nucleotides) under Vreelandella stevensii. Its description in RNAcentral is "partial 16S ribosomal RNA". It matches the Rfam family "Bacterial small subunit ribosomal RNA", at positions 338 to 795 of the family's 1533-position model. Lineage: Bacteria; Pseudomonadati; Pseudomonadota; Gammaproteobacteria; Oceanospirillales; Halomonadaceae. The record is from RNAcentral.
CCUACGGGUGGCAGCAGUGGGGAAUAUUGGACAAUGGGGGGAACCCUGAUCCAGCCAUGCCGCGUGUGUGAAGAAGGCCCUCGGGUUGUAAAGCACUUUCAGUGAGGAAGAACGCCUGGUGGUUAAUACCCAUCAGGAAAGACAUCACUCACAGAAGAAGCACCGGCUAACUCCGUGCCAGCAGCCGCGGUAAUACGGAGGGUGCGAGCGUUAAUCGGAAUUACUGGGCGUAAAGCGCGCGUAGGUGGCUUGAUAAGCCGGUUGUGAAAGCCCCGGGCUCAACCUGGGAACGGCAUCCGGAACUGUCAAGCUAGAGUGCAGGAGAGGAAGGUAGAAUUCCCGGUGUAGCGAUGAAAUGCGUAGAGAUCGGGAGGAAUACCAGUGGCGAAGGCGGCCUUCUGGACUGACACUGACACUGAGGUGCGAAAGCGUGGGUAGCAAACAGGAUUAGAUACCCUAGUAGUC